Molecule: small nucleolar RNA, 205 nt
Organism: Syngnathoides biaculeatus (alligator pipefish)
Lineage: Eukaryota; Metazoa; Chordata; Actinopteri; Syngnathiformes; Syngnathidae
Product: small nucleolar RNA SNORA53
Exons: 1
Source: RefSeq, a predicted model, not a curated record
AACACGUUCCUUAGAUCCACCUCUGGGGGGCGCUCUGCUCUGAGCAGAAGCCCUCAGCAGCUUUCUGGCUGUACAGUUGGAGGUGCUUGAGUCAUUGGCGUGUUAAAGCAGUCUACCUGUUUUCCCGGCUUACUUGCGACACUGACAAUCCGGUUCUCUACGAGCAGGAAGUCGCCCAGUGUUGCUAGCCAGGGGAACGGACAUU